AGAGUUUGAUCAUGGCUCAGGACGAACGCUGGCGGCGUGCUUAACACAUGCAAGUCGAACGAUGAUCCCCAGCUUGCUGGGGUGAUUAGUGGCGAACGGGUGAGUAACACGUGAGUAACCUGCCCUUGACUCUGGGAUAAGCGUUGGAAACGACGUCUAAUACCGGAUACGACCAGCCUCGGCAUCGGGUGCUGGUGGAAAGAAUUUUGGUCAAGGAUGGACUCGCGGCCUAUCAGGUAGUUGGUGAGGUAAUGGCUCACCAAGCCUACGACGGGUAGCCGGCCUGAGAGGGUGACCGGCCACACUGGGACUGAGACACGGCCCAGACUCCUACGGGAGGCAGCAGUGGGGAAUAUUGCACAAUGGGCGAAAGCCUGAUGCAGCAACGCCGCGUGAGGGACGACGGCCUUCGGGUUGUAAACCUCUUUUAGCAGGGAAGAAGCGAAAGUGACGGUACCUGCAGAAAAAGCACCGGCUAACUACGUGCCAGCAGCCGCGGUAAUACGUAGGGUGCAAGCGUUGUCCGGAAUUAUUGGGCGUAAAGAGCUCGUAGGCGGUUUGUCGCGUCUGCUGUGAAAACCCGAGGCUCAACCUCGGGCCUGCAGUGGGUACGGGCAGACUAGAGUGCGGUAGGGGGAGAUUGGAAUUCCUGGUGUAGCGGUGGAAUGCGCAGAUAUCAGAGGAACACCGAUGGCGAAAG
This 700-nucleotide ribosomal RNA is filed under the name uncultured bacterium. RNAcentral describes it as "bacterial SSU rRNA". It matches the Rfam family "Bacterial small subunit ribosomal RNA", at positions 8 to 721 of the family's 1533-position model. The record is from RNAcentral.